This 405-nucleotide ribosomal RNA is filed under the name uncultured bacterium. RNAcentral's name for it is "partial 16S ribosomal RNA". It matches the Rfam family "Bacterial small subunit ribosomal RNA", at positions 28 to 526 of the family's 1533-position model. The record is from RNAcentral.
GACGCACGCUGGCGGCGUGCUUAACACAUGCAAGUCGAGCGGAGCGGCGAACGGGUGAGUAACGCGUGAGUAACUGCCGCCCUCUCUGGGAUAACAGUUGGAAACGGCUGCUAAUCCCGGCUAUAGGGGUAUGACUUGCGUCCUAUCAGCUUGUUGGUUGGGUAGUGGCCUACCAAGGCGACGACGGGUGGCCGGCCUGAGGGGGCGACCGGCCACAUUGGGCUGAGAUACGGACCAAACGCCUACGGGAGGCAGCAGUGGGGAAUAUUGCACAAUGGAGGAAACCCUGAUGCAGCAACGCCGCGUGCGGGAUGACGUCCUUCUGGUUGUAAACCGCUUUCAGCCAUGACGCGGUAGUGGCAGAAGAAGCACCGGCUAACUACGUGCCAGCGGCCGCGGUAAUAC